UUUCUUUGUUCCCAUUUCUAAAGGGACAUUUUUUAUGCGGAUGUUUUCUUUGUUAGGAAACUCCUGCGAUUCGUGCAUGACUUUAUUCAAAAAUGUCUCAAAUAUGUUUCCCGUACUACUGAUUGUGAGUUACAGCUGAAAAACAGAGUAAAGGCGAAAAAGGGAGACACUAUGAGAGAUGGAGAUACAUGGAAUGGAAUGCAUGCAAAUUGGACAUUGCACUGAUGAGCGAUGUGUCUCUGGCACGGUCGCUGUUGGACUUUCUGCCUCGUCUGCUUCGGCAGUAGCUUGUUUAAUUGCAACUAAAAGCGGAAGGCAACAGCAGGCGGAGGAGGAGCAGGAGCGGGAGCAGUGGAGCGGAGCGGAGGAACCAACGUUGACUGCUCCCCUGAACUGUGUCAAAAACAAGGGCCAGAACAGCAGGGCAGCAGUAAAAAAUAUACGGAACGAGACUAAAGAUUCACACACAAGUUUGUUGUUUAGUUCUGUUUGGUUUUUUGUUUGUUUGUUUGUUUGUCCAUCUGUGCAGGUGUGCGUGUGUUUCUGUUUCUGUUUGUUCGCUGCCCGUUGCUUCCUGCAAUUUGCGCUCUGGCAAAGCUUCCUUUUUAAGCCCGUGCCACGGACCAGGAGCUGGAGCAGGAGCCGGUGCCGCAGGUGUUGGACUGAAGCGGCAGCGGCAGCAUCGGGAUCAGCGGAGGUGAGAAACAGUGUUCCAAAAGCACUUUUUAAAGUCCCAAGAUAUUGUUAUUACCAGAGGAUUUGAAUCCGCCACACUAGACGUGAACCACUGUGCACUGGCGUAGACGGUGACUGCGGCGGCGGCAACAUCCUCUGCUAUCUGCUUGCUGCAGCCGAACAGUCGGCGCGAGAGGUGCUCGGAAGAGGAGGAGGAGAAGAGAAGAGUGGAGAACGGAUGGGUGGGUGGGUGUUGGGUUGGGACAAACAGAAACCGACGCGGCUUUCCUUUCUGACACACCAUUUUGCAUGUUGCAUGAAGCUGCCAUGUGUGUGUGCGUGUCUUCUUCUAUCCCACUCUGUAUCCCUCCUUCUCUCUCUCGCUCUGUGUGCAUGGCGCAUAUGUCACUUGUCUAAAUAGCAGCGACACCGUUCACCUGUAUCAGUGUGUGUGUGUGUGUAGUGUGCUUGGAACUGCCCGACGCACAGUGGUCUCCACUCAAGUACAUUGAUCGGAGCCUUCAGGGAAUACCCAAUCCAAUAAUUAUAGGAUUUUGCUUUGCAGCUUAUAGAUUUCCUAAAUUAUAAUAAAUAAAAAUACCACUUUUUCGGAAAAAA
Molecule: long non-coding RNA, 1293 nt
Organism: Drosophila pseudoobscura
Lineage: Eukaryota; Metazoa; Arthropoda; Insecta; Diptera; Drosophilidae
Exons: 2
Source: RefSeq, a predicted model, not a curated record